Molecule: ribosomal RNA, 460 nt
Filed under: uncultured bacterium
Lineage: Bacteria
Description: bacterial SSU rRNA
Rfam family: Bacterial small subunit ribosomal RNA
Source: RNAcentral
CAUGUGACGAGUUUGAUCCUGGCUCAGAACGAACGCUGGCGGCAUGCCUAACACAUGCAAGUCGAACGAAGCCUUCGGGCUUAGUGGCGCACGGGUGCGUAACGCGUGGGAACCUACCAUCAGGUUCGGAAUAACAGUUAGAAAUGACUGCUAAUACCGGAUAAUGUCUUCGGACCAAAGAUUUAUCGCCUUUUGAUGGGCCCGCGUAAGAUUAGGUAGUUGGUGGGGUAAAGGCCUACCAAGCCGACGAUCUUUAGCUGGUCUGAGAGGAUGAUCAGCCACACUGGGACUGAGACACGGCCCAGACUCCUACGGGAGGCAGCAGUGGGGAAUAUUGGACAAUGGGCGAAAGCCUGAUCCAGCAAUGCCGCGUGAGUGAUGAAGGCCUUAGGGUUGUAAAGCUCUUUUACUGGGGAUGAUAAUGACAGUACCCAGAGAAUAAGCUCCGGCUAACUCCGUG